CGCGCGUGUGUUCUGUUAAUAAUCCUCGGUAUUCCUCUCAAUGAUAAAUAAAGACUGUCAAAUAAAUGGGUUGAAAAAAAAUAUUAUGAUAUCCAACCUCAUCCCAGUCCCAUGCAGGGCCCGCAGAAUAGUACUGGACCUAAAGCUAUAUUUCACUUAGAGCCUUCAAUGGGAUUGGUGCUUAUCUCGCCAACACAGCGCUGCUGACCUGUAGGCUGCUGCAUCAGAGGUGUGUGUUUGUGUUGAGGUGUUGACCUGUCAGGGGGGACUUGUUAGGACUUUAACUCCGACUGCUGGUGGCGGUCUCCAGACAUCCGGGGGUGGCAUCGAUUUGAAACUUGUCCUGUCUAAUUUGAUGAUAACAUCCAGCCUGCCCCGCCGCAGUACCAUGGACAGCGCACUGUCUUGACCUUGCCUUGCUAUCAAAUUACCCCCGUCUGGGCCACAGUGGGAGUUUACUAUAGGCUGAGAGAGAGAGAGAGAGAGAAAGAGAGAGAGAGAGAGAGGGAGAGAGAGAGAGAGAGAGCGAGAGAGAGAGAGAGAGAGAGAAAGAGAGAGAGAUUUUGUUUCUUUUUUUUUUUACCAAAGACAAAUCUUUUCUGAAGCCAGUGCUUACACUCUGUAGCACUGUGGUAGAGGAUCAACAUCAAGAGGAUGAUGACGGUUUACACUGACUACCUAUGUAAACCACACACAGUGACACUUAAGCACACUUUAUUUUAUGUUUUCUCACGGGAUUCAACCUUCCCUACAUUACUUCCCUCACUUUAAGACUCUAUUCUUCGAUUUCAAACAGGUCACAUUCAUCGCAAUGAUCCUAAACAUAAAAAAGUUUUCCAGCAACUAGAAAAGGAAGUGGUGAAGUGUUUUUUCCGUUCUUUUUUUUUAAACCCCAAAUAGUUGCCAUGGUGAAAUAUAAAAUGUUCGUUUAAAAAAUGGCUGAAAUUAAUAAAUGAGGGUGCAUUCACAUUGUUAUGAAGGCGUAUUUGCAUGUUUAUUACUGCAUAACUGAAGCUUAGGCAGUGGGAUUUUUUCUCUUGUAAAGGUUUGUUGCACGUGUAACUUUUUUCUUUAUUACUGGGUGAUGAAGACAUGAAAGAGCAGCAUGUUUUUAAAGCCUGUGAUAUAUUAUGAAUAUGAAAUCUUAACCUGUAAACUUAAAGUAACUUAGGCCAUUGUGUGUUUAUAUAUAAAUAUAUGGGAUCUGAUAAAGAUUCUUAUUUAAGUUUAUCAAAUAUUUUAUAGGAUCGAUCAGAGCAUGUUCUGCAGACUGGAGCAAAGCAG
This is a long non-coding RNA of Astatotilapia calliptera (eastern happy), 1284 nucleotides long. The record is from Ensembl. Lineage: Eukaryota; Metazoa; Chordata; Actinopteri; Cichliformes; Cichlidae.